CUGGUGACCCCCCAAGGCUUGUGAGCUAUAAAACUUUCUCAUGCAAAAGUUGCAUGAGAAAACCUUGUUAGUAGCAGCAGGCUUUGACGAUAAUACAGGAUCACAGUCUCCAGCUGCGACUGGUUGAUAUCUGUUGAGGCCUAGACUCAACCAUUCCUUCAGAUUAUCAUCCUCAUCAGCUUGUGAUUGAUCGCUGUUGGUGACUUUUGAUUCAGCAUCUUUGUUAUUGAGAGAAGAUAUCUCUCUUGCUUCUUCUUCCCCAACCUGGAAAAUCA
Molecule: unclassified non-coding RNA, 275 nt
Filed under: Hevea brasiliensis (rubber tree)
Lineage: Eukaryota; Viridiplantae; Streptophyta; Magnoliopsida; Malpighiales; Euphorbiaceae
Source: RNAcentral